This 492-nucleotide ribosomal RNA is filed under the name uncultured bacterium. Its description in RNAcentral is "partial 16S ribosomal RNA". It matches the Rfam family "Bacterial small subunit ribosomal RNA", at positions 28 to 507 of the family's 1533-position model. The record is from RNAcentral.
GAUGAACGCUAGCUACAGGCUUAACACAUGCAAGUCGAGGGGAAACGACAUCGAAAGCUUGCUUUUGAUGGGCGUCGACCGGCGCACGGGUGAGUAACGCGUAUCCAACCUGCCCACCACUUGGGGAUAACCUUGCGAAAGUAAGACUAAUACCCAAUGAUAUCCCACGAAGACAUCUGAAUGGGAUUAAAGAUUUAUCGGUGAUGGAUGGGGAUGCGUCUGAUUAGCUUGUUGGCGGGGUAACGGCCCACCAAGGCAACGAUCAGUAGGGGUUCUGAGAGGAAGGUCCCCCACAUUGGAACUGAGACACGGUCCAAACUACUACGGGAGGCAGCAGUGAGGAAUAUUGGUCAAUGGGCGAGAGCCUGAACCAGCCAAGUAGCGUGCAGGAAGACGGCCCUAUGGGUUGUAAACUGCUUUUAUAAGGGAAUAAAGUGGGUCACGUGUGACUUUUUGCAUGUACCUUAUGAAUAAGGACCGGCUAAUUCCGUG